ACCGGCACCACCCCUCUGGAGUCUCCUCUUAACCAUGUUGGAGGCGAAUAUAGGGAGCCAAAGGAGAGCACACAGAACCCUGCAGGAGGUCAAGGCCAAAGUCCUCUGGGCCCCAGGAAGUCACUCAGGGAUCGGACAGGAUUUUGCUGGCUGUUGCCUUGAAGUGUUUGCCUGGUGCCAUGCCACCCUGCCUGGGAGCCAGCUGAUUAUGGACUAAAACGUCCACAAAUUAUGGCUGAAGAAAGCAAAAUCAUACAGAAGUGGCAGGCCCUGGGGAACAGAGAAAGAUCCUCUCAGCAGUGCACUCAGUGAUGCGAACAGUACUAUGAAGUCCUCACUUUCUGCUCUGUCUCGGGAGUGAACAACGUCUCACCUAGCCUCUCCUCUCUCUCUGGUCAGCAGCCACACAGCUCCUCAUCCGCUAAAUAGGCAGCACAAGCCAGCUUUGAACACAUGUAGAUGGUUUGCAUUCUGGCAUAGCCUACUAGAUGGGUAACCUGAUGACAGUAGAAGCUUAUAUCCUGGACUCCCAUCUUGAAGAUACCCUCGGGACCACAUCCUUGCGCGCCUGGACACAGGAAGGUGGUGAUCUGUAGAAGCACGGUACUUAUUUUUGGGGGGUGCUGGGAUCAAACCCAGAUCCUAGUGCAUGCAAGGCAAGAACUCUAUCGCUGAGCCACAUUCCCAGCCCUGCAGUUUUUAAAUGUAUGAUUUUCCUUGUCUCCUUUGUACUUCACUUUUUCCAUCGUACUUCACUUUUUCCAUCAUACUUCACUUUUUCCAUCCUACUUCAUCAUCACAUUUGCAACAUCUGAGUAUUGGGGGAACACAUUUAACCCAUAGUAUUCCACACCUGGCCUCCCCAAACUUAUAUCCUCACACACAAAAUGCAUUCACUUGGUCUCAAUAGCCCCAAAAGUCUUUAACCUAUUCUAUCAUCUACUCAAAAGUCUAGUCUAGAUUCUUAUUUAAAUAACAUACUGACGAGACUCAAAGCUGUGUUUCAUCCUGAGGGAAAUUGCUCUCAUCUGUGGGUCUAUGAGAUCAAUGAAAUAUAUAUUUACAAAAUACUUUAGUGAGACACAAUUAGAGCAGACACAUCAAUUCCAAAAGAAAAAAAAAUAGGAAGAUAUGGCUGUCCCAUUAACAAAAGAAAGGGGCCAACUUUUAUGGGGUUUACUGGGGUGGAUGAGGGUCUGGUGGUUAUUAUUUCAGUUCUGGUUCUGCUAGAUGGUUCCAGAGAGGUCUUUAUUUCUGGAGGAUAAAUCUAGUUCUCUUGGGAGAUUGCUUCCUUCGCCAUUCUCCAAUCUUAUUAAGAGUUCAUGCAUAGGUAUUAUAUACUAUGUGUAUAAUUAAGAGCAGAGUGAAUUCCAGGAUAGGCCUGCAGGUUAAGACCCCUGAACUGACACAGCACCCUGUCAGUCACUCCUGUCAGUCAUAUCUAGAGAUUCAGGGAGAGAACCUGGGUUGAGGUGCACACUCUUACCCUUGGGGGAUCCUGGAAAUUCUGUGUUGAAGGAGCAUACUAAAGGGUGCAUAAAAGUCACACGUAUUCUUUAGAAGUAUUUCUAUUGAUGAGUUAAUAAUUUUAUGAGUUUUGUUAUAUUAAAUAAUGAAUACUUAACAGGAAAACAUAUCAAAAAUAAAGUAUUGAAUUUUUAAUAUUUAUUGUUCAUAAAAAAGUAUCAAAAUUUUCAAUAUUGAUUUACAAAGUCUAAAAAAUAACAACAGAAAUAAAUUCUGUAUAAACUGUAAUGAAAAUACCAAUAUAACUCUGCAACCAAACUAAUCUUUACUUCAACUGUCACACCGAAGGUAGUCUUCACGCAGACAACUGCACAUUCUGUGCAAGAGUCUCACUCACACUGACACCAUGUGUUUAGUUCUCCUGUCUUUUUUGCAGGAUAAACUUUACAUCUCAGUAGUCUUACAGUUUUAUUAGGAGCUUCUUACUAUAUUGUAAAAUGUGCACUUAGCAGGAAAAUAAGAUCAAUAAAAUAAAAUAUCAAAUAUGUAAUGAGGGCUUAGAAUAGACACCAACAUUUUCAUAUACUGUGUACCUGCUUACAAAACCCAAAAGGUAACAUCAGAAGUAAAUAUCUACAUGAAUGACAAUAUAAACAUGAACAAAAGUCUACCGCAGAACAAUCUUUGCUUCGGUUGUCUUCAUACACGAAAACUGCAUGCACUGUGGGCAGCAUCACCUGAACUGAUAGCCCCUGUUUUGUUUUCCGUCCUUUUUUUUUAGUAGGGCACAGCUGACAUCGUUCUGGUUUUCCUGUUGUCACAGUGGGUCUUUGUGAUACUGCACCUGCCUGUUCACCUGUCAGCUCAGCAGUGUGCUCCACAAUUUUUUUUUUGGUGUAUUUCCCUGGGCAAAAAUAUUUUGCUCUUCCUCUCUUGUAAAUGAUCUCUUAUGAGUGCCCCAUGCCAAUCCUCUAAUAAAAUUUCUCCAUGAUAUUUUUUAUUUGCUAUUUUCUUUGUAAACUAUCAAAUGACUCAUGCCACACAUGUCUAGGACGAAGUAAAACACAAUUGGCCAGCACUUUGUGUUUCGAGGAGCAUCAGAGUUGCUGUGUAAACUCAACAACAACUUGGUUUGUUUUUGUUCUAAAAAGUUUCCAUCUCAGGUUCCAUUUCAGGUUUGUUGAAUUUUUCCAUCGUGGUGUAAUGUGGCCAUCAGCAGUACCAGUGUGUUAUUCUUUCCAAUGUUAUAUCUGUCUGAAAUUCAAAGAUUGUACUACAAAAUUCUCUGUUUUGAAAUUGCAGCACUUCAUUGGGAAUUUUUGCCUUGUGAUUGUGUGCAGUGCCUAUGCUGGGCAACUUGUGCUUUGUCAGCAAAUGUAACAUCAGUCUGACACUGGUGAACAAACUGUUGAAUAUCACUUUCCUAUUGGUUUGGGGAAUGGGAGCAACAAAUUUGUUCACAGCAUCAUUUGUUCAUUACCACACAAAUAAAGACCUGGUAGCUGAGUUCCAGAAUAAUUUCUAAAUUUAAAGUAUAUGUCUUUGUGCCCUAGAAUACCAACAGAGAUACUGGGCAACAAAGGGAAGGCAGGGGCAUCACAAUCCCUGACUUGAAGUAUACUAUAAACCUACUGUGAUAAAAACAGCCUGAUACUGGGGAAAACCCCACAUGGACCCGUGGUUCAGUGGAACAGAUUAGAAGGUUCAGAAACAGCUUAGCCACUUCUCUAAUACAGAUGCCAAACACAUUCACUUGAAGAAAGAUAAUUUCUGUAAUAAAUGAUAUUGGAAAAUCUGGCUUUCCACAUGCCAAAGAUUAACACUAGACCCAUAUCUUUCACCAUCCACUAAACUAAAAUAAAAAUUGAUCAAAUGUCUAAAUAUUAAAACAGAAACACUAAUCUUCUGGAAGAUAGAAUACAUAAAACUCUUGAAGACAUUGGUGUAUACAAUGACUUUAUAAACAAAACUCCAAAUGCACAGGAACUAUCACAAAUAAUCAACAACUUGGGUCUCAUCUUAUUGAAAAGCUUGUGCACAGCAAGAGGAACUACCACCAGAGUGAGGAGACAACACACAGUGUGGGAAAAAAUCUUUGGCAGCUGUUCCUCAGACAAAGGACUACUACCUGGAAUAAAUAAAGAACUCCCAAAAGAUUAGACCUUCCCCAAAACUUAAAGACCUAAUUCAAAAAUGGGCAUCUGAAACGAACGGAUACUUCUCAGAUGAAGAAAUAGAAAUGGCAAAUAAAUAUAUGAAAAUACA
Long non-coding RNA from Cavia porcellus (domestic guinea pig), 3732 nucleotides. RefSeq lists it as uncharacterized. The transcript is spliced from 5 exons. The record is from RefSeq and is a predicted model, not a curated record. NCBI's taxonomy places the organism in Eukaryota, Metazoa, Chordata, Mammalia, Rodentia, Caviidae.